RNAcentral lists this non-coding RNA (801 nucleotides) under Rhagoletis pomonella (apple maggot). Lineage: Eukaryota; Metazoa; Arthropoda; Insecta; Diptera; Tephritidae. The record is from RNAcentral.
UUAAAGUUUUAUUUUAGCUUAAAAUUUUAUUAUUGAUUUAUUUUAUAUGUAAGUUUUUGCAUGAAUUUUUAUUUAUUUAAAUAAUAAGUAAAUUUUAUUAUAUUCUCAGUAAUUAGUUUUAUUAAUCAAAGAAAUUUGUAAAUAGUAAUUUCAUAUAGUAUUGGCUAAAUUUGUGCCAGCAGCCGCGGUUAUACAAAUAAUGCAAAUAAAAUUAGUUCAGUGUAAGUUAAAUUUUAUAUAAAUAAAAUAAUUGUAAAUUUAUUAGGUGAAAUUUUAAAUUUAUAAAUUUUUAUUUUAGUUAAAUUAAAGCUUAUAAAUUUUGUUAAUAAACUAGGAUUAGAUACCCUAUUAUUUAAAAUGUAAAUAUUAACACUAAGGUAGUAUUAGUUAUGUUCUUGAAACUUAAAAAAUUUGGCGGUAUUUUAGUCUAUUCAGAGGAACCUGUUCUGUAAUUGAUAAUCCACGAUGUACCUUACUUAAAUUUGUUUUUCAGUUUAUAUACCGUCGUUAUAAGAAUAUUUUAUAAGAAUAAUAAUUUUCCAUAAUUUUUAUUAAAAUUUAUAUCAGAUCAAGGUGUAGCUUAUAUUUAAGUAGAAAUGGGUUACAAUAAAAUUAUUUAAGUGAAUUUAAAUUUGAAAUAUUUAAUGAAAAUGGAUUUGAUAGUAAAAUUUUAUAGAUUAAAAAUUUGAUUUUAGCUCUAAAAUAUGCACACAUCGCCCGUCGCUCUUAUUCUUAAGAUAAGAUAAGUCGUAACAUAGUAGAUGUACCGGAAGGUGUAUCUAGAAUGACAAUUUAAAGCUU